GUAGGGCUACCCGCUGAACUUAAGCAUAUCAAUAA
RNAcentral lists this ribosomal RNA (35 nucleotides) under Fuscoporia gilva. Its description in RNAcentral is "partial 25S ribosomal RNA". RNAcentral also lists the same sequence under 1 other name. Lineage: Eukaryota; Fungi; Basidiomycota; Agaricomycetes; Hymenochaetales; Hymenochaetaceae. The record is from RNAcentral.